Molecule: non-coding RNA, 91 nt
Organism: Lentinula aciculospora
Lineage: Eukaryota; Fungi; Basidiomycota; Agaricomycetes; Agaricales; Omphalotaceae
Source: the annotation of a GenBank genome assembly
GGUUCAAUGGCGUAGUGGUUAUCGCAUCUGUCUUACAAUCAAGUAAAGCGUGUAGCACAGAAGGUCUCCGGUUCGAUCCCGGGUUGAAUCA